RNAcentral lists this non-coding RNA (947 nucleotides) under Bembras japonica (red flathead). RNAcentral's name for it is "12S ribosomal RNA". It matches the Rfam family "Bacterial small subunit ribosomal RNA". Lineage: Eukaryota; Metazoa; Chordata; Actinopteri; Perciformes; Bembridae. The record is from RNAcentral.
CAAAGGCUUGGUCCUGACUUUACUAUCAACUUUAGCCGGAAUUAUACAUGCAAGUAUCCGCACCCCUGUGAGAAUGCCCCACAGUUCCCUGCCCGGGAACAAGGAGCCGGUAUCAGGCACACCUAGUCGUAGCCCAUAACACCUUGCUUAGCCACACCCCCAAGGGAACUCAGCAGUAACAAAUAUUAAGCCAUAAGUGAAAACUUGACUUAGUUAAAGCUAAGAGGGCCGGUAAAACUCGUGCCAGCCACCGCGGUUAUACGAGAGGCCCGAGUUGAUAGACACCGGCGUAAAAGGUGGUUAAGAUUAAAAUGAUACUAGGGCCAAACACCUUCCGAGCUGUUAUACGCACUCGAAGGCAGGAAGCACAACUACGAAAGUGGCCCUACACCCCCGAACCCACGAAAGCUAUGGUACAAACUGGGAUUAGAUACCCCACUAUGCCUAGCCUUAAACAUAGAUAGUGCAUUACGCUCACUAUUCGCCCGGGUACUACGAGCACUAGCUUAAAACCCAAAGGACUUGGCGGUGCUUUAGACCCACCUAGAGGAGCCUGUUCUAGAACCGAUGAUCCCCGUUCAACCUCACCCUUCCUUGUUUUCCCCGCCUAUAUACCGCCGUCGUCAGCUUACCCUGUGAAGGCACUUCAGUAAGCAAAAUUGGCACUGCCCAAAACGUCAGGUCGAGGUGUAGCGUACGGAAGGGGAAGAAAUGGGCUACAUUCCCUACUAUAGUGAACACGAAUGCUGUGUUGAAACACACAUCUGAAGGAGGAUUUAGCAGUAAGCAGGAAAUAGAGCGUCCUGCUGAAACUGGCCCUGAAGCGCGCACACACCGCCCGUCACUCUCCCCAAACCUGUUAACUCAAAUAACUAAAACCCCAUUUCCCAAAAAGGGGAGGCAAGUCGUAACAUGGUAAGUGUACCGGAAGGUGUACUUGGAAAAAU